Small nucleolar RNA from Manihot esculenta (cassava), 94 nucleotides. RefSeq annotates it as small nucleolar RNA snoR27. The record is from RefSeq and is a predicted model, not a curated record. NCBI's taxonomy places the organism in Eukaryota, Viridiplantae, Streptophyta, Magnoliopsida, Malpighiales, Euphorbiaceae. The transcript has a single exon.
GUUGGAUCAAUGAUGUUAAUUAAAAACUGCGUUAUCUGUCUGCAGCUUCCUUAUUGGAAUUGAAGAUAUCUGUUAUAACAGUCUGAGAUCCUGA